AGUGAACGCUGGCGGUAGACCUAACACAUGCAAGUCGAACGGCAGCACAGUAAGAGCUUGCUCUUACGGGUGGCGAGUGGCGGACGGGUGAGGAAUACAUCGGAAUCUACUAUUUCUUGGGUGAUAACGUAGGGAAACUUACGCUAAUACCUCAUACGACCUACGGGUGAAAGCAGUGGUUCAUCGGACCUUGCGCGAUUCAAUUAGCCGAUUUCGGAUUAGCUAGUUGGCGAGGUAACGGCCCACCAAGGCGACGAUCCGUAGCGGGCCUGAGAGGGUGAUCGGCCACACUGGAACUGAGACACGGUCCAGACUCCUACGGGAGGCAGCAGUGGGGAAUAUUGGGCAAUGGGCGCAAGCCUGAUCCAGCCAUACCGCGUGGGUGAUGAAGGCCUUCGGGUUGUAAAGCCCUUUUGUUGGGAAAGAAAAGCAGCAGAUUAAACCCCCGCUGUUCUGACGGUACCCAAAGAAUAAGCACCGGCUAACUUCGUG
Molecule: ribosomal RNA, 492 nt
Filed under: uncultured bacterium
Lineage: Bacteria
Description: partial 16S ribosomal RNA
Rfam family: Bacterial small subunit ribosomal RNA
Source: RNAcentral